RNAcentral lists this transfer RNA (72 nucleotides) under Bos taurus (domestic cattle). It matches the Rfam family "tRNA". From Rfam's summary of the family: Transfer RNA (tRNA) molecules are approximately 80 nucleotides in length. Their secondary structure includes four short double-helical elements and three loops (D, anti-codon, and T loops). Further hydrogen bonds mediate the characteristic L-shaped molecular structure. tRNAs have two regions of fundamental functional importance: the anti-codon, which is responsible for specific mRNA codon recognition, and the 3' end, to which the tRNAs corresponding amino acid is attached (by aminoacyl-tRNA synthetases). tRNAs cope with the degeneracy of the genetic code in two manners: having more than one tRNA (with a specific anti-codon) for a particular amino acid; and 'wobble' base-pairing, i.e. permitting non-standard base-pairing at the 3rd anti-codon position. The record is from Rfam by way of RNAcentral. RNAcentral also lists the same sequence under 2 other names. Lineage: Eukaryota; Metazoa; Chordata; Mammalia; Artiodactyla; Bovidae.
UCCUUGGUGGUCCAGUGGUUAAGACUCUGCCCUUCCAAUGCAGGGGUGUGGGUUCAUUUCCUUAUCAGGGAA